RNAcentral lists this ribosomal RNA (502 nucleotides) under uncultured bacterium. Its description in RNAcentral is "SSU rRNA". It matches the Rfam family "Bacterial small subunit ribosomal RNA", at positions 26 to 523 of the family's 1533-position model. The record is from RNAcentral.
AGAUUGAACGCUGGCGGCGUGCCUAACACAUGCAAGUCGAGCGGUAACAGGUGUAGCAAUACAUGCUGACGAGCGGCGAACGGGUGAGUAAUGCUUUGGAAUCUUCCCAGUAGUGGGGAAUAACCAGUCGAAAGAUUGGCUAAUACCGCAUACGUCUGUAAAGGGAAAGCGGGGGCUCGUAAGACCUCGCGCUAUUGGAUGAGCCAAAGUCGGAUUAGCUAGUUGGUGGGGUAAUGGCCUACCAAGGCGACAAUCCGUAGCUGGUCUGAGAGGACGACCAGCCACACCGGAACUGAGACACGGUCCGGACUCCUACGGGAGGCAGCAGUGGGGGAAUAUUGGACAAUGGGGGAAACCCUGAUCCAGCGACGCCGCGUGUGUGAAGAGGCCUGCGGGUUGUAAAGCACUUUUAGUGGGGACAAAAGCUACGGAUUAAUACUCUGUGGUCUUGAUUUAACCCAAGAAAAAGCACCGGCUAACUCUGUGCCAGCAGCCGCGGUAA